AAACACCUCUUCAUCUCCUUCUGCAGGAUUUAAUUCACGCGUCUUCACCUCUUCAGCUUCUCUUUGCGGAGUCAGAGUCUCAGAGGAGUGUGUGGCGUAGUGUAUCGGCUGUUUUUACGUGGAGCCCGUUUGUUUUCUGUACUCUUUGCGACGGCUGUUUUUGGAGAUCUCCGGUACCUACGAUUUCGACCUGGAUGGACCCAACAUUGAACGCUACCUCCCUUCCAAAAUCUCUGCCCACGAACUGUAGGCUGAGAUUCACCUGUGUUCUCUCUCUUUCUAUAACUCUUUGCUUUGCUAUUUUUCCUUAAAUUUCUUGGAUAGCGAAUUGCAUUUAAUAGUAGUGAAGAUAUCGUUUUUGAUUCGAAGGUUUGAUUUGCUCAACAUUUCUCCUACCUUUACUGAGUCUGCAAGAGCAGGAGCCAUUAUUGAUGUAUGUGUCCUCUCCAUUAUCGACGUUCAAAAUUCACUUUCGUAAAUAUGCAGUUAUUUUCUCCUUAAAUUUCUUUGUGUCAGAUUCAUGUAUGCAGUUAUUCAGGUCGUCCUUGGUUUCCGUGAAUGUAUCGUGCCAACGUUUUUGCUUAUAUACGACUUAUGUACAUAUGGGUUCCUGACUCUCUUUUCUUGCUCUGGUGCAAUUUGAUUUUGGGCAAGAAAUUUCAAUGUUUUGGUGGUUGAUAAAUCUUUGGUUGCACACAUCGGCACAAAGCAAGUUUUUGAAAUAUAUCAAAAACCGGUUGAAAAGCAUACAAGGUUGCACUAACUACGCUAAAUUGGUGACCCAGAUCUGAGAGGAAAAGAUCCUCACUUGGAUUCAAAUGAUUUAAAUGGAAGAUCAGAUGACAUACGGUUCAGCUCCUUAGAUAUUGUAAAUGAUAAAUUAUUUUUGAAGCUUUGACAAAUUUGUCACGGACGAGCCUUGGGUAGUAAGCAGAAAUGGAACCCUUAUGGUUAUUCAUUUUGUCAAAUACCAGUUACUGAAACCAAUAGGUUUAAAGUCAGAUUGAUGCUCAUGCUGAUGGUGUGAAUGGCUUGGCAUUCUCUUCCCAGGAGAGGCAACUUCUGGUCAUAACCUGUGGUGAUUGAAAACAAGAGAGCAAGCUGAAGUUUUUGGGGUUUAUGUGGAACCCUCUAUCUUGGGUCAUGGAAGCUGCAGCUAUCUUCGCCAUUGCGCCUGCCAAUGUAGGAGUUAGUAUUUUUUUUACUUAAUGACAGUUUUUGGAGUACAAUCAUUACCAGUUGGCCCCCUUUUCUUUUAAUUUUUUCCCCUGUUUAAACAUUGUUAUUUUAUGGACGGUGCUGCAUUUGUUUACUAUUGGAGAAAACCGAUUCAUUUUUUAAAAAGCAAAUGUGAAGCUAUUGAAUUUUCAAGUACUGUGAGGGUUGGCAAUUUUGAUGAUCCCACUAA
This is a long non-coding RNA of Tripterygium wilfordii, 1408 nucleotides long. RefSeq lists it as uncharacterized. NCBI's taxonomy places the organism in Eukaryota, Viridiplantae, Streptophyta, Magnoliopsida, Celastrales, Celastraceae. The record is from RefSeq and is a predicted model, not a curated record. The transcript has 4 exons.